This 468-nucleotide ribosomal RNA is filed under the name uncultured bacterium. Its description in RNAcentral is "partial 16S ribosomal RNA". It matches the Rfam family "Bacterial small subunit ribosomal RNA", at positions 28 to 507 of the family's 1533-position model. The record is from RNAcentral.
GACGAACGCUGGCGGCGUGCUUAACACAUGCAAGUCGAACGGAAAGGCCCUGCUUUUGUGGGGUGCUCGAGAGGCGAACGGGUGAGUAACACGUGAGUAACCUGCCCUUGACUUUGGGAUAACUUCAGGAAACUGGGGCUAAUACCGGAUAGGAGCUCCUGCUGCAUGGGGGGGGUUGGAAAGUUUCGGCGGUUGGGGAUGGACUCGCGGCUUAUCAGCUUGUUGGGGGGGUAGUGGCUUACCACGGCUUUGACGGGUAGCCGGCCUGAGAGGGUGACCGGCCACCUUGGGCCUGCGAUACGGCCCAGACUCCUACGUGAGGCAGCAGUGGGGAAUAUUGCACAGUGGGCGGAAGCCUGAUGCAGCAACGCCGCGUGCGGGAUGCCGGCCUUCGGGUUGUAAACCGCUUUCGACUGUGACGAAGCGUGAGUGACGGUAAUGGGUAAAGAAGCACCGGCUAACUACGUG